Molecule: ribosomal RNA, 428 nt
Filed under: uncultured bacterium
Lineage: Bacteria
Description: partial 16S ribosomal RNA
Rfam family: Bacterial small subunit ribosomal RNA
Source: RNAcentral
GUAGGGAAUAUUGCGCAAUGGGGGAAACCCUGACGCAGCGACGCCGCGUGAGUGAUGAAGGCCUUCGGGUCGUAAAGCUCUGUUGCAGGGGAAUAAAAAAAUGAAGGUACCCUGUGAGGAAGGAUCGGCUAACUUCGUGCCAGCAGCCGCGGUAAGACGAGGGAUCCUAGCGUUGCUCGGAAUCAUUGGGCGUAAAGAGGGCGUAGGUGGCUUGGUAAGUCAGGUGUGAAAGCCCAGGGCUCAACCCUGGAAGUGCAUUUGAUACUGCUGAGCUUGAGUGUCGGAGAGGUUACCGGAAUACCUGGUGUAGUGGUGAAAUACGUAGAUAUCAGGUGGAACACCAGAGGCGAAGGCGGGUAACUGGACGAACACUGACACUGAGGCCCGAAAGCGUGGGGAUCAAACAGGAUUAGAUACCCUAGUAGUCC